RNAcentral lists this ribosomal RNA (868 nucleotides) under uncultured marine archaeon AEGEAN_69. RNAcentral describes it as "bacterial SSU rRNA". It matches the Rfam family "Archaeal small subunit ribosomal RNA", at positions 23 to 898 of the family's 1478-position model. The record is from RNAcentral. Lineage: Archaea; Thermoproteati; Thermoproteota.
CUGACUGCUAUCGGAUUGAUACUAAGCCAUGCGAGUCAUUGUAGCAAUACAAGGCAUACGGCUCAGUAACGCGUAGUCAACCUAACCUAUGGACGGGAAUAACCUCGGGAAACUGAGAAUAAUGCCCGAUAGAACAUUAUGCCUGGAAUGGUUUAUGUUCCAAAUGAUUUAUCGCCGUAGGAUGGGACUGCGGCCUAUCAGUUUGUUGGUGAGGUAAUGGCCCACCAAGACUAUUACAGGUACGGGCUCUGAGAGGAGUAGCCCGGAGAUGGGUACUGAGACACGGACCCAGGCCCUAUGGGGCGCAGCAGGCGAGAAAACUUUGCAACGUGCGAAAGCACGACAAGGUUAAUCCGAGUGGUUUCUGCUAAAGAAACCUUUUGUCAGUCCUAGAAACACUGAUGAAUAAGGGGUGGGCAAGUCUGGUGUCAGCCGCCGCGGUAAAACCAGCACCUCAAGUGGUCAGGAUGAUUAUUGGGCCUAAAGCAUCCGUAGCCGGCUCUGUAAGUUUUCGGUUAAAUCUGUACGCUCAACGUACAGGCUGCCGGGAAUACUGCAGAGCUAGGGAGUGGGAGAGGUAGACGGUACUCGGUAGGAAGGGGUAAAAUCCUUUGAUCUACUGAUGACCACCUGUGGCGAAGGCGGUCUACCAGAACACGUCCGACGGUGAGGGAUGAAAGCUGGGGGAGCAAACCGGAUUAGAUACCCGGGUAGUCCCAGCUGUAAACUAUGCAAACUCAGUGAUGCAUUGGCUUGUGGCCAAUGCAGUGCUGCAGGGAAGCCGUUAAGUUUGCCGCCUGGGAAGUACGUACGCAGGUAUGAAACUUAAAGGAAUUGGCGGGGGAGCACCACAAGGGGUGAAGCUCGG